CAGUAGCCGCGGUAAUACGUGGGGUGCAAGCGUUAAUCGGAAUUACUGGGCGUAAAGCGUGCGUAGGCGGUUCGUUAAGUCUGUUGUGAAAGCCCCGGGCUCAACCUGGGAAUGGCAAUGGAUACUGGCGAGCUAGAGUGUGUCAGAGGAUGGUGGAAUUCCCGGUGUAGCGGUGAAAUGCGUAGAGAUCGGGAGGAACAUCAGUGGCGAAGGCGGCCAUCUGGGACAACACUGACGCUGAGGCACGAAAGCGUGGGGAGCAAACAGGAUUAGAUACCCCCGUAGUCCCUGUCUCUUAUAC
This 301-nucleotide ribosomal RNA is filed under the name uncultured bacterium. RNAcentral's name for it is "partial 16S ribosomal RNA". It matches the Rfam family "Bacterial small subunit ribosomal RNA", at positions 509 to 807 of the family's 1533-position model. The record is from RNAcentral.